CCUACGGGUGGCAGCAGUGAGGAAUAUUGGUCAAUGGGCGGGAGCCUGAACCAGCCAAGUCGCGUGAAGGAAGAAGGUACUUAGUAUUGUAAACUUCUUUUGUCGGGGAACAAAGGCGGAGACGCGUCUCCGGAUGAGUGUACCCGAAGAAAAAGCAUCGGCUAACUCCGUGCCAGCAGCCGCGGUAAUACGGAGGAUGCGAGCGUUAUCCGGAUUUAUUGGGUUUAAAGGGUGCGUAGGCGGAGCGUUAAGUCAGUGGUAAAAUUGAGGGGCUCAACCCCUUCCCGCCAUUGAAACUGGGGCUCUUGAGUGGAAGAGAAGUAUGCGGAAUGCGUGGUGUAGCGGUGAAAUGCAUAGAUAUCACGCAGAACCCCGAUUGCGAAGGCAGCAUGCCGGCUUCCGACUGACGCUGAAGCACGAAAGCGUGGGGAUCGAACAGGAUUAGAUACCCGGGUAGUC
RNAcentral lists this ribosomal RNA (459 nucleotides) under uncultured bacterium. Its description in RNAcentral is "partial 16S ribosomal RNA". It matches the Rfam family "Bacterial small subunit ribosomal RNA", at positions 338 to 795 of the family's 1533-position model. The record is from RNAcentral.